GGCGGCAUGGCCAAGUGGUUAAGGCAGAGGUUUGCAAAACCUUUAUCGUGGGUUCGAUUCCCACUGCCGCCUCCA
Molecule: transfer RNA, 75 nt
Filed under: bacterium
Lineage: Bacteria
Description: tRNA-Cys
Rfam family: tRNA
About the family: Transfer RNA (tRNA) molecules are approximately 80 nucleotides in length. Their secondary structure includes four short double-helical elements and three loops (D, anti-codon, and T loops). Further hydrogen bonds mediate the characteristic L-shaped molecular structure. tRNAs have two regions of fundamental functional importance: the anti-codon, which is responsible for specific mRNA codon recognition, and the 3' end, to which the tRNAs corresponding amino acid is attached (by aminoacyl-tRNA synthetases). tRNAs cope with the degeneracy of the genetic code in two manners: having more than one tRNA (with a specific anti-codon) for a particular amino acid; and 'wobble' base-pairing, i.e. permitting non-standard base-pairing at the 3rd anti-codon position.
Source: RNAcentral